Long non-coding RNA from Cannabis sativa, 1808 nucleotides. RefSeq lists it as uncharacterized. The record is from RefSeq and is a predicted model, not a curated record. NCBI's taxonomy places the organism in Eukaryota, Viridiplantae, Streptophyta, Magnoliopsida, Rosales, Cannabaceae. The transcript is spliced from 2 exons.
UGAGAGAAUUUCAGUUUUCGUUUCUGGUUAGAAAAGGAUAAUAGUAAUCAUGGAAGCCCUCUUCUUUUCUAUUUUUUUUAGUCAAAAGUUCGUGUUUGGCUGAUGAGUAAACAUGGUAGAAAAUGAGAAAUUUUCAGGAAAACUAAUACGAAGAAGAUACAUAGAACUGUGAACUCUAAAUUUAAUUCUUAGUAGUAUUAGAAAGGCCAUUGACGAAGUCAUUUGAAGCAGUAGAAAAGUUAUCGAAUUGGAUCAAAGAUGGUAUUGGUAGACUAGUCUCUUAUCUCUUCUCAUGUUUUCUCGGUUGACCAUACAGAGUUUCAUGCUUCGAAUAAUUCAGGCCAUUUAGAAAGACCAUUGAGUAAGCCUUUUGUGUUGGUUGCAGAAAGUUUGGUUGGACAAAACAACAGGUGGAGUUUGCUUGUCUGUUGCUUCAAAAGGAUUAUCCAUCACCAGAAUUGAUGAUCGAAGAUAUUGGAAGUAUAUUCCGACAGAAGAAUCCAGGUAAAAUUCGAGUUUAUAUUUUCUUUCUUUUGUUUGUUUAUUAUGUUAUUUUUUUCUCUCUUAUUGUCUUACUGAGAUUUCAUUGAAACGGGAAUGUUUGUAUCAGUACUAUCAUAGUAUAUUAUCGAUAGAUGAGGAAAGUUCGAGUUUUACGGGGAUUUUCUUGCUCGAAAUUUCUGAAGUAUGUUUUUUUUGUAACCCUUUUUGUAAAAUCUCUAUUCUGUGGUUUUGAUUUCUAAAUGAAUGACUUUGUUCUUUGGAAUUUUGUGUUUUUUGCAUUUUUUUUUGUAAAUCUCUUCAACUCUCUUUAUUUUUAUGCUGUCUUAUGUAUUCUAAUGUGAAAACCAAAGCUACAGAAUUUUUUUAAAAAAAGAGAUAUUUUUGGUUUCUCUUUCUGUCCAAAAAGAAAAUCACUUACUAGAAAUUUUAAGGGUGGUUGGUUUUAUAGUCUAAAAACUGUUUUCUGUUUUUUAAAACUGAAAACAGUUUUAAAAACUAUUAGAAGUUGUUUGACAUAAAUUUUUAAAAACUUGUUUUUAAAAAUUAGAAAACAAAAAACAUCAAAAUGUUGUUUUUAAUUUUCAAAAACACUCUUUUUUGUCUAACAUAUUAUAUUUUAUAAUUUGCUCACAUACUCGGAUACUAGACCCGAAACCAUACUCGAAUCUAGACCUCGAUGGGUUAAUGUCAUGAUAUGGUGCUAAAUUAUUGAUUUUUUUUUUCGUAAAAAAAAAUCUAAAAACAGUUUUUAAAAAUUUGUACCAAACACCAUUAAAUUUUUAAAAUGACAAGAAACUGUUUUCUAUUCUCACUUAUAAAAACACAAUUUUAAAAACUGAAAACACAACCAAACAAGUUCUUGUGCCGCCGAGUCUGCAAUACUGAUGAGCACAUUCGUGGUUGGGACCUAAAGCCAAUACGAUUUCAGCUAUGAACUUCAGACGGUAAGAGCACUAUAUCUCAGUUCUUAACUGAGCUGGGGAGUUUGUAGUAGACAAUGCCCAUGUUUCCACGAAGAUUAAAUUCUCCAUGACUCAGAUCAGAUUGAUUGUACUCACACAAAAGGUGGGCUUUGUUUAGACUCCCUAAUGAUACUUCCAACAGCUUGUGUUUUAGAUAGAGAUAGUCAAUGUCAAUAUAAAGAAGAGCCAUACUACAGUAGCCUAAGUGUGCAUGUAGAUUUGUAAGUGUAUAUAUUGUUUAUUCAAUUUAUUUUACAGUGUUCUACAUUUUCAAGGUUGUUUGCCUCCUUGUACGGAUAUAUAUUUUUGGUGGAAAUAAAAUGAUUUGAUGUUUGAGUUGAA